AAGUUGUUCAAUGUUAAUACUGUCAACAUCAAGUAUACCAUCAAAUUCUUAAAUGGAGUAGAACAGUGAUUGUUGACCUAUUUAUCUACCUGCUUGCACCUAAGAGUUUCCAUUCAAUAGAUAAAAAAUCUUUUCAGACUUCAAGCAAUGGAUGUUAUAUUUUAAGAAGACGUAAACAAAGACUAAGGCUGGCACUUUAAUUUAAUAACUCAGCUUUGUAUUAAUGAAUAGGCACACUUCAUAGAUCAUUUAAAAUGUUAUACAGCUGUUAUUGGUCAUGUACUCUCCGGAUUAUUUUCAAACUUUCACUUCCAAAAAAAGUGUCAAGGAAUAUAAAACAAUCAAUAUACAAUAAAUAAAAAAGCCUAUAAAAAUGUUCACGAUCAACUGAAACACUGAUAAUGUUACAUCAAAAUUUAUUAGUUCAACUUAUAUUUAUAUUAGGUUGAAUAACGGAUAGUCUGUCUCACUUUUAAGAUUGUAGUUAAGACUACCUCAUGAACCUAUUCGAUCUAAUAUCUAAAAAAUGUCCUCCCAUACGCCCUAACUUAACUUGACAACACACCUGCAGACGCGAAAGUAUAGUGAGGGGUCGACAAAGUGUUGUGAACUAAACAUCGAACUUGACGCAAUGAGCGGUAUUUUGUUCCAACUCAUUGCACAAUGCGCAAAUUAAUUAAAGCCACCAAUCAAUUCCGACUGCGGUAAAUCGAUUUUCAUCAAAUCUGAGAUAAAGUAGGCUUGACCACAAACGACCCCCUGAGUAUUUAAUUAAAUCAAACUGUGAAACUUCUCUCGAUAAUACACAUUUAUACGCCGUCGUUCAAUUCGAGAUUUCCCUUUAUCGCACCAAAAAAAACGGGUAUAAGAAGUUAUAACCGGCCUAUAUAAUAAGGUAAUAUCGAGUUUAUUUGAAAAUCCCGUUAGCGUGUUAUUGGGAAUAUUUACUAAUCUUUUUACGUGUAAUUAAAACGCAAUAGUUUUAAUCGGCUAUUGCUAAAAAACAAUAAAUUUUACUCCCAAUGAAAUUAUGUUAGUGAAUCGAUUCACUUUAAAAAGUAAUUUUAAAUGUUUCAUGUAAAAUAAUUAAUUAUUAUUUUAAGAUUGAUGGCGCUUUUGGGACAGUAAAUCAAAGUACAACAAUUCCCAAGUUGGUAAUUACAUUCGAAGCUAUUUGUACACACAUUUGUAUUCAAUUACUCCUGAUAAGGAAGAUUUGAACGACCAAUCGGAAAUGAUAUCGACAAAUUACCGCAAACUUAUUUGCGCUAUCGGCCAAAAGUUAAUUUUCUGUGUCGGGAUAUUUUAGUCAAUGCCGGUCAGAAAAGCAUAAUAUGCCUUUUUUCAAAUUGGAACCGAAGGAAAUAAAAUAUAGAAAUGUUUAGUGGAGAAACGUUUUCGUGUUUCGUGAAGGACAGUUCAGUGUAGUUCUGGGAAGUGUUUCGCACGAGAAAUGCUUCCGUAAUAGAUACCGAAUGAAGCUAAGAAAUGUGAAAGCAAAGAUCACGCCAAGGUAUUGUAGUUUUGUUAGUAACGAGACAUAAAUCUAUGAAAAAAUUAUCUUCAUUCGUCUUUUUUUUAUCCCAACCAGGGCGACGAAAUUACACUAAACCUAUGAAUUUAUGUUGCACAAUCAUCAAUGAUUUAGUUGAAUAAAAAUAAUCUGGAUUUUAUCACAGUGUACGAAUUCGGGAACGAAUAAAUUAGCAAAAGGGCGACCUCGCAAAGCCGUAGUUAAGGACAAGGUAUAGCAUUUUUUGGCAUAGCGUAUCGAAAAAUCACUUGCACAUUGUCAAAGGCAGGCAAUACUUCUUUGAGCAAUUCAUGGUAUACGGCUACGCCAUUACCCGAUCAACAUAAAGCGAUGAAGAAAAAUAAUAAUUACGUAUAAAGCUCUGAAGACAAAUAUAAUAAGCGGUCGAAAUAUUGAAUGUUGGUUCGUUUAAUCAUAGAACGAUAUCCCGAAAAACAACAGAUUCGACUUGGGUAACAAAAUUUCAAUCUAACAAAACAAUGUCAGCGAUAAGCAAAAUAUCUUUCGGAAACGGCGCUAUCCGCAUCAAUUACACAUUUUAUUAUUUGCGCUAUCGAUUGGAUUUCUGUGAGACUAGCUGAUUAUCCAUUUUCUUUGCUUUUCGACUGGUGGAUUCAUAUGCAUAUAAUGCGAACAGACGCUACUAAAACGGAAAUUGUUUUGAAGAAUCAACCGAGUAAAAGCUUCAUUUAGCCUAACUAAAUAUGAACGGAUCGAUCAGCUUUAAAAACCAGACUUAAAGCUAUGCCAAAGCGACUUAUUCUAUGUGGCACAGCUCUACGAUGGAUGGUUGAUCUACGUCUCUCCACCAAUUCCAUACCCUCUAUGACGACGACACGGGCUGGUGAGCACGGAUAUAACUUACAAUUAGUCGAGACCAAACCAGACAGUGUCUCAUUCAGCGAUCGAUGGACGUAUUGGAUCAGCUGAAAGGUUUGCCGGCUUAGUCAAGCCAGCAGCCAAUCGUUGUCGUCAAGAAAUGUUUGAAUAACAGAAUGCAUUGCAAAAUACUCUUAUUAUAAAACAAUAAUGCUAGUCAUUAGUCAACAUUUAUCAAUUGUACAUUUUCUGUAAUGUGAUGUGCCAUGUUCUCAAAUAAAAUAAUAUAACCAUUAAACUGAAGAUGGUAACAGUUAAUCUGAUAUGAGUAUUGUUUUUCUUGCUCAGACACAUAUAAGAAGAAAUAUACAAUAAAGAGAAUUGUGUUUUGAUAAGGCUACACCUAGUAAAGAAAUGGCAGAAAAAUUUUUGCUGAAACUCGUUAUUUCCAAGUUUGACAAAGAUGGUAUCAAUACAUAAGAUAUGAGAAGUAUUGUUUUUUUUUUUGCUUGAUUGGACACAAAUAAAAAAAAA
This is a non-coding RNA of Styela clava, 2887 nucleotides long. Lineage: Eukaryota; Metazoa; Chordata; Ascidiacea; Stolidobranchia; Styelidae. The record is from RefSeq and is a predicted model, not a curated record.